This 492-nucleotide ribosomal RNA is filed under the name uncultured bacterium. RNAcentral's name for it is "partial 16S ribosomal RNA". It matches the Rfam family "Bacterial small subunit ribosomal RNA", at positions 29 to 507 of the family's 1533-position model. The record is from RNAcentral.
AGUGAACGCUGGCGGUAGGCCUAACACAUGCAAGUCGAACGGCAGCACAGUAAGAGCUUGCUCUUACGGGUGGCGAGUGGCGGACGGGUGAGGAAUACAUCGGAAUCUACUUUUUCGUGGGGGAUAACGUAGGGAAACUUACGCUAAUACCGCAUAAGACCUACGGGUGAAAGCAGGGGAUCUUCGGACCUUGCGCGAUUGAAUGAGCCGAUGUCGGAUUAGCUAGUUGGCGGGGUAAAGGCCCACCAAGGCGACGAUCCGUAGCUGGUCUGAGAGGAUGAUCACCCACACUGGAACUGAGACACGGUCCAGACUCCUACGGGAGGCAGCAGUGGGGAAUAUUGGACCAUGGGCGCAAGCCUGAUCCAGCCAUACCGCGUGGGUGAAGAAGGCCUUCGGGUUGUAGAGCCCUUUUGUUGGGAAAGAAAAGCAGCAGGUUAAUACCCCGCUGUUCUGACGGUACCCAAAGAAUAAGCACCGGCUAACUUCGUG